GCGCCUGUAACUCAGAGGAUAGAGUAGCUGACUUCUAAUCAGCAAGUCGCAGGUUCGAGUCCUGCCAGGCGCGCCA
Molecule: transfer RNA, 76 nt
Filed under: Bacillota bacterium
Lineage: Bacteria; Bacillati; Bacillota
Description: tRNA-Arg
Rfam family: tRNA
About the family: Transfer RNA (tRNA) molecules are approximately 80 nucleotides in length. Their secondary structure includes four short double-helical elements and three loops (D, anti-codon, and T loops).
Source: RNAcentral